GACGAACGCUGGCGGCGUGCUUAACACAUGCAAGUCGAACGGAAAGGCCCUGCCUUUGUGGGGUGCUCGAGUGGCGAACGGGUGAGUAACACGUGAGUAACCUGCCCUUGACUUUGGGAUAACUUCAGGAAACUGGGGCUAAUACCGGAUAGGAGCUCCUGCUGCAUGGUGGGGGUUGGAAAGUUUCGGCGGUUGGGGACGGACUCGCGGCUUAUCAGCUUGUUGGUGGGGUAGUGGCUUACCAAGGCUUUGACGGGUAGCCGGCCUGAGAGGGUGACCGGCCACAUUGGGACUGAGAUACGGCCCAGACUCCUACGGGAGGCAGCAGUGGGGAAUAUUGCACAAUGGGCGGAAGCCUGAUGCAGCAACGCCGCGUGCGGGAUGACGGCCUUCGGGUUGUAAACCGCUUUCGCCUGUGACGAAGCGUGAGUGACGGUAAUGGGUAAAGAAGCACCGGCUAACUACGUG
RNAcentral lists this ribosomal RNA (468 nucleotides) under uncultured bacterium. RNAcentral's name for it is "partial 16S ribosomal RNA". It matches the Rfam family "Bacterial small subunit ribosomal RNA", at positions 28 to 507 of the family's 1533-position model. The record is from RNAcentral.